Molecule: long non-coding RNA, 720 nt
Organism: Homo sapiens (human)
Lineage: Eukaryota; Metazoa; Chordata; Mammalia; Primates; Hominidae
Exons: 4
Source: RefSeq, a predicted model, not a curated record
GUUGGAUGCAGUAUUCUAUGAAUUUCAAUAGAGCAAGUUGAUUAUAAUGCUGUUCAGGCAAAUCCCAGGAUCUGCAGUAUGAGUUCGAAAGCUGGAGACCCUGGAGAGUCAAAGGUUUAGUUCCAGUCUGAAGGCCAGGAAGCUCAAGACUCAGGAGGAGCUGCGGUUUCAGUUCAAGUCCAGAAGCAGGAAAAUUUCUCUUACUUGGGAGAAGAUUUGCCUUUUGUUCUACUCAGGCUUUCAAUUGAUUUGAUGAGACCCACCCACAUGAGGGAGGACAAUCUCCUUUCCUCAAUCUGCUGGUUUAAAUAGCCUCGCUACUUAAAGUUGUGGUCUUUGGACCAUGGGCAUCAGCAUCACCUGGAGUCUGUUAGACAUGCAACAUCGCAGGCCCCACUCCAGAUCUGCUGCCUCAGGAUCUGCAUUGGAACAGGAUUGGCAUCCCCAGAGAAAGUGUGGCCCUUGCUAUGGAGAAAUGACAAUGAAUGAACUGCAGUGACACACAACAACAACAUGGAUGGACCUUCAACACAUAUCACUGAGCCAAAAAGAGCAAGAUCAAAAGAAAAAUCUCUAAUAUGAUUCCACUGGCAUAAGUUUUGAAAGCAGACAAAAUUAUAGUUUGAGGAUCCACUCUUUGGUGGUGAAACUAUAAAAGAAAACAAGGAAAUGGUUACCAUAAAUAUCAGGAGAAUGGCACAUCUAGGUGAGAGAAGGGAA